UACGUAGGGUGCGAGCGUUGUCCGGAAUUACUGGGCGUAAAGAGCUCGUAGGUGGUUUGUCGCGUUGUCCGUGAAAACUCACAACUCAAUUGUGGGCGUGCGGGCGAUACGGGCAGACUGGAGUACUGCAGGGGAGACUGGAAUUCCUGGUGUAGCGGUGGAAUGCGCAGAUAUCAGGAGGAACACCAGUGGCGAAAGCGGCCACCUGGACUGCACCUGACGCUGACACGCGAAAGCUAGGGGAGCGAACGGG
Molecule: ribosomal RNA, 253 nt
Filed under: uncultured bacterium
Lineage: Bacteria
Description: partial 16S ribosomal RNA
Rfam family: Bacterial small subunit ribosomal RNA
Source: RNAcentral